Molecule: ribosomal RNA, 26 nt
Filed under: Laboea strobila
Lineage: Eukaryota; Ciliophora; Spirotrichea; Strombidiidae
Description: partial large subunit ribosomal RNA
Source: RNAcentral
CGUAUCUGGGCUCAGGUGGGACCACC